RNAcentral lists this ribosomal RNA (497 nucleotides) under uncultured archaeon. RNAcentral describes it as "bacterial SSU rRNA". It matches the Rfam family "Archaeal small subunit ribosomal RNA", at positions 119 to 617 of the family's 1478-position model. The record is from RNAcentral.
GAUGGGGAUAACCUCGGGAAACUGAGAAUAAUACCCAAUAGAUCAUAAUGCCUGGAAUGGUUUAUGGUUCAAAUGAUUUAUCGCCGUAGGAUGGGACUGCGGUCUAUCAGCUUGUUGGUGAGGUAAUGGCCCACCAAGGCUAUAACAGAUACGGGCUCUGAGAGGAGACGCCCGGAGAUGGGUACUGAGACACGGACCCAGGCCCUAUGGGGCGCAGCAGGCGAGAAAACUUUGCAAUGCGCGAAAGCACGACAAGGUUAAUCCGAGUGUUUUCUGCUAAAGAAAUCUUUUGUCAGUCAUAAAACCACUAACGAAUAAGGGGUGGGCAAGUUCUGGUGUCAGCCGCCGCGGUAAAACCAGCACCUCAAGUGGUCAGGAGGAUUAUUGGGCCUAAAGCAUCCGUAGCUUGCUGCAUAAGUUUUCGGUUAAAUCCAUACGCUCAACGUAUGGGCUGCCGGGAAUACUGUGCAGCUAGGGAGUGGGAGAGGUAGACGGUA